GACGAACGCUGGCGGCGUGCUUAACACAUGCAAGUCGAACGGAAAGGCCCUGCUUUUGUGGGGUGCUCGAGUGGCGAACGGGUGAGUAACACGUGAGUAACCUGCCCUUGACUUUGGGAUAACUUCAGGAAACUGGGGCUAAUACCGGAUAGGAGCUCCUGCUGCAUGGUGGGGGUUGGAAAGUUUCGGCGGUUGGGGAUGGACUCGCGGCUUAUCAGCUUGUUGGUGGGGUAGUGGCUUACCAAGGCUUUGACGGGUAGCCGGCCUGAGAGGGUGACCGGCCACAUUGGGACUGAGAUAGGGCCCAGACUCCUACGGGAGGCAGCAGUGGGGAAUAUUGCACAAUGGGCGGAAGCCGGAUGCAGCAACGCCGCGUGCGGGAUGACGGCCUUCGGGUUGUAAACCGCUUUCGCCUGUGACGAAGCGUGAGUGACGGUAAUGGGUAAAGAAGCACCGGCUAACUACGUG
Molecule: ribosomal RNA, 468 nt
Filed under: uncultured bacterium
Lineage: Bacteria
Description: partial 16S ribosomal RNA
Rfam family: Bacterial small subunit ribosomal RNA
Source: RNAcentral